RNAcentral lists this transfer RNA (72 nucleotides) under Araneus ventricosus. RNAcentral's name for it is "tRNA-Gly". It matches the Rfam family "tRNA". Rfam says of the family: Transfer RNA (tRNA) molecules are approximately 80 nucleotides in length. Their secondary structure includes four short double-helical elements and three loops (D, anti-codon, and T loops). The record is from RNAcentral. Lineage: Eukaryota; Metazoa; Arthropoda; Arachnida; Araneae; Araneidae.
GCGUCAGUUGUUCAACGGUCAGAAAAGCUGUUUCCCCAACAGUUGACCCGGGUUCGACUACCGUCCGACGCA